Molecule: long non-coding RNA, 1121 nt
Filed under: Calidris pugnax (ruff)
Lineage: Eukaryota; Metazoa; Chordata; Aves; Charadriiformes; Scolopacidae
Description: lncRNA (ENSCPUG00000004104.1)
Source: RNAcentral
GAGGUGGGUGCUGAGGCGGCUACAGGCCGUCCCCGGGGCUUUCCUCAUCGCCCCGCGGUUCUCUUCUCCUCGCCGCCCUGCCGGGGUGUCGGUGGGAGCUGAUGUCGGUGCGAGGCCGCGGCCCUGAAGGGUUUGGGGGGCUCCCCCGGCGGAGCUGCAGCUUCCUCAGGCUCCGCUUGUGCAUCUCUGUGAGGAUUUUCACCCCAAAAUGUUUUCAUUUUCAGGCAGGCCUUCUUAAGCAAAGUAAACCCUCUUGCUGUCUUACAUUUUUCACCAGAAGUGGUAUUUCGGUGGAGUUAACCAAGUAAUGUGUUGACAGAAGUGGGAUUCUGCUCCAUCAAACUCGCGUUGUGUUGGCCUUAAAACGUAGAAGUGUUGUAUUGGUGCAGUAAAUAGUACUUCUGUGUUUAGUUAGAACGGUGUAAAAACGAGGGGUGGGAAAGAAAAGUGAACUUGCGCUUUAGCUGCCUGCAAAGAGGUGAACGGAGGAUGGUUGUCCUGACAGCAAGGGUUCCUCAGGCCCAGGCUGCCCCCUCAGCUAGGGCUUUUCCAGUUCCUGGUCCCAGAGACCAGAACUGCCCCAGAGCCUUCCAUGUUGCCAGGUCAGUGAUGGUCACUAGCCACAGCCUCCCAGGGAGGAUGGGGACCUGCAAGAACCUGUGCCACGGGUGUUGCUGGCUCCUAAGGAGCUCUUGUUUCCUAGAGAAACAGCAAUCCAUUAUCUUGCUCUUGUGGGAUUCAGCACUGGCUACCUAAAGAACGGGAAGAUUUGGCAAAAAAUGGCAGUACUGAAGCCAGAGCUACAAUGCAAAGGUAUUGAUGGCCAAAAACCUCAGCUUCCCUUGUUUAAAGUAUACGUGUAGCAAAGCAUAUGAAUCUAUGGGCUAUUUAUCUUAAAGACAGAAAAUCAUCAUAAGAAAAAUGAGAGAUAUUUUUAGUAGGUCUUUUACAAACAGGUAGUGCUUUUUUGGUUUUGGCAUUGGGAAUUUUGUUUCUAUUCAAUCUGAAUUUUGUGAUAGGGCAAGUGAAACUAAAUGAGGUAGAUGGAUGCUUUUUAAAAGAAAAAGCAGAACAGAAGCAGAUGGUGAAGUGGAGAAAAUAAAAAUAGGAAAAAUGAAGCA